AGGCAAUCCAUCUGUUUUUGUUUUCUGUACCACAUUUCCUUCUCUAUAUUUUUUGCCCUGGGCUUUGAGAUACUGCUUCAACUUGAGCUUUUGGGGAACUAAUUAGUGUUUCAACAAUAUUUGCCUGCCCAAUUAGCUGGAGGCUCCUUGAUGGCAGAGACUGCCUCCUUGGUAUCCCCAGCACACAGCACAGAACCUGGCACAUACUGUGUUUGUGGAGUCUCUGUGGAAGCAAGAAAUUACCAUCCAUUGAAAUCAUCAUCAAAGCUUAUUUAUCAUCCUGCCAUGUCUUUCCAGCCUUCAGCCUUGGGAACUUCUGUGUGUUUAUUGCACAUUCAUGAAGGUUACAGUAAAUAAUACUCAAGUAAGUGCAUCAGGGUUUGUGGAGGGUUUGGUGCAGGCUUGUUCCAGAGCCUUAAUAGGAUGAAUCUGAAAAUGAGGCUUUGGAGAUUUGAUCAAAGGACAGGUGUCUUUUAAUGUUGAGUUUUUAAGAAACAUUAAGGAUCUCAAAUGAGAGAACACUUACCACCUGGACAAAAAGGACAUUCAACAGUGGCAUUUGGGGCUUGUGCCGUUACUGUUUGAACAGAGUAACUGUGAACUGUGAACUGGCUCAAGAAGAUGUGAGUGAUUUGGGAUGGACCUGCAAUGGGGCCUCUCCUGAAGGAGAGGACUAGGAACCGGACUAGGGCAACCAAGGGAUUGAUGGUAAGGUCUUAACCAUGUUUAUGUUCCCCAGUACCUAGCACAUAAUAAAUAGUUGUUGAAUGACUGAAUGAAUGAGAUCAGAGAUGAUUGAACUGGCUGCAGUUUUU
RNAcentral lists this long non-coding RNA (815 nucleotides) under Homo sapiens (human). RNAcentral describes it as "HSALNT0022578". Lineage: Eukaryota; Metazoa; Chordata; Mammalia; Primates; Hominidae. The record is from RNAcentral.